Long non-coding RNA from Danio aesculapii, 431 nucleotides. RefSeq lists it as uncharacterized. The transcript has 2 exons. The record is from RefSeq and is a predicted model, not a curated record. Lineage: Eukaryota; Metazoa; Chordata; Actinopteri; Cypriniformes; Danionidae.
AUCAGAACAGAAUGAGAGAUUUAAAUGAAGAAGGAGAUGCUUAAAGAAGUGGAAUGAAAAACCUGGAGCGUCAGAUGACGUAGAACACAAAUUAAGACAAUGUCUGAAUUACAUACUUUCUGAAAUCACAGAGGAGAAAUUGUUGCUCAUUGAUAUUAAGAACUUUAAACUAAAACAAGCUGUAAACUCUUCUAAUGUUAAUAGGUGCAUGCAAAUAGAUAACUGAGCUUUAGCCUGCAUGAACAACAUUAAUACAAUGGAGACAUUAUUGGGAAGUCAUGUUAGCACCAAAUUGCUACUAUUGUAAAUAGAAUGAAACUACAAAAUAACCACACCAUUAAAAACAUUUUAGGUGCUCAAAGUUAAUUGAAUUGAAUUAUAUUUUUUCAUUAGUUUGCAAAUUAUGAAAUAAAAUAUGUCCUGAUUACAAA